CACACUGCUAUGAGUUGGAAUCGUCACAUAGAACCCGUGAGAUCCGUUUGGGGCCUGGAGGCCGAAUUGAUUUUUCGAAUUGUUGAGACCACCACACAGCCUUGAUUGCCAGGCACCGAUUUUAAGAGGUAAUCGGGCUGAAAACUGGCCACAGGAUGUAGAAUCUCAAUCUCGCGAGGAGAUGCAUUUGAAACUGCUCUUCGCCAUCAAUACACUGAUAGGAUACGGGGAAAUUGAACGUUGCAGGGCCUCCCGUGUGGGGAAGCCAGAGGGUUAGCCAUUACGCCGAAAGAAUCAACUUUUAUGGAAAGAUCACCCAUCUUGGGAUAUGUACGGGCUGGACUGUAUAUCAUGCAUGAUUUUUCAUGUCCUUUCAAUGGUGAAUCGAAAACCAUAUGACCUGAGAAUACG
This 411-nucleotide small RNA is filed under the name Histoplasma ohiense. Its description in RNAcentral is "hypothetical lncRNA". Lineage: Eukaryota; Fungi; Ascomycota; Eurotiomycetes; Onygenales; Ajellomycetaceae. The record is from RNAcentral.